GCGGACGUGGCGGAAUUGGUAGACGAGAUUUAGGUUCUGGCGCCGCAAGGUGUGAGAGUUCAAGUCUCUCCGUCCGCACCA
Molecule: transfer RNA, 81 nt
Filed under: Aliivibrio finisterrensis
Lineage: Bacteria; Pseudomonadati; Pseudomonadota; Gammaproteobacteria; Vibrionales; Vibrionaceae
Description: tRNA-OTHER
Rfam family: tRNA
About the family: Transfer RNA (tRNA) molecules are approximately 80 nucleotides in length. Their secondary structure includes four short double-helical elements and three loops (D, anti-codon, and T loops).
Source: RNAcentral